CCAGUUCAUCCCAGUCCAUCCCAGUCCCCUCCCAGUCCAUCCCAGUUCCUCUCAUCCUGUCCCAAUUCCCUCCCAGUCCCUUCUGGUGCCACCUGAGGCACACUCCAGUGCCCCCCAGUCCCUCCCAGUGCCCCCCCAGUACCUCCCAGUCCUCCCCAGUGUUUCCCAGUGCCUCCCAGUCCCUCCCAGUUCCCACUUUGGUCUUCCUGGGCCAAGCUGUUAUAAUUAUUUGCCUCUACCUCACCUGGGUCGUGCCCCACAUCCCCCCCAGUCCAUCCCAGUCCAUCCCAGUGCUUCCCAGUCCCCUCCCAGUCCCUCCCAGUGCCCACUUCGGUCUUUCUGAGCCAAACUCUUAGAGUUACCUGCCUCUAUCUCACCUGGGUUGUGCCCCACAUCAUCCCCAGUGCCCUCCCAGUCCCUCCCAGUGGCCCCCAGUGCCCUCCCAGUGCCUCCCAGUCUCCUCCCAGUGCCUCCCAGUUCCCACCUCAGUCCUCCCAGGCCAAGCUCUUAGAGUUACCUGCCUCUAUCUCACCUGGGUUGUGCCCCACACCCUUCCCAGUGCCCUCCCAGUCCCUCCCAGUACCUCCCAGUGUCCCCCAGUGCCCUCCCAGUCCCUCCCAGUGCCCUCCCAAUCCCUCCCAGUGGCCUCCCAGUGCCCUCCCAAUCCCCUCCCAAUCCCUCCCAGUGGUCUCCAGUGCCCUCCCAGUCCUUCCCAGUACCUCCCAGUCCUUCCCAGUCCCUCCCAAUCCCCCCCAGUCCCUCCCAGCGGCCCCCAGUGCCCUCCCAUUCCCUUCCCGGUGCCCCCCAGUCCCUCCCAGUGCCCACCUUGGUCCUCCUGGGCCGCGUCGUUGUAGUUGACCUGCUUGCGGACGCGCUUGCCCUUGCCCAGGUUUCGUGCCAGGUCCUCCUGCUGCUGCUCGUAGUGGUGCCGCAGCAGCUUCUCCCAGUAGUCGGGGUCGACGUUCUCCUCCUGCUUGAUGAUCUCGCGCUCGAUCUCCUCGAUCUGUGGGCAUGGAAACGGGGGAGAGGGCGGGGGGGGUCAUGUGGGGCCAGGGCUCGCAGCGCUGCCUUCACAUCUCCAUCCCCACCCCCACUGUCCCAUCGUCCUCGUCGUCUUCGUUAUCUCCAUCCCCGCUGUCCCCAUCAUCAUCCUCGUCGUCUUCAUUAUCUCCAUCCCUACUGUCUCCAUCAUCAUCCUCCAUCAUCAUCCUCGUCUUCGUUAUCUCCAUCCCAGCUGUCCCCAUCAUCGUCCUCAUCGUCGUUAUCUCCAUCCCCACCCCCGCUGUCCCCAUCAUCGUCCUCGUCGUCUUCGUUAUCUCCGUCCCCACUGUCCCCAUCAUCAUCCUCACCGUCGUUAUCUCCAUCCCCACCCCCAAUGUCCUCAUCAUCAUCCUCAUUGUCUUCGUUAUCUCCAUCCCCAUCACUGUCCCCAUCAUCGUCCUCAUCAUCAUUAUCUCCAUCCCCACCCCCAAUGUCCCCAUCAUCAUCCUCAUCGUCUUUGUUAUCUCCAUCCCUACUGUCUCCAUCAUCAUCCUCCAUCAUCAUCCUCAUUGUCUUCGUUAUCUCCAUCCCCACUGUCCCCAUCACCAUCCUCAUCUUUGUUAUCUCCAUCCCAGCUGUACCCAUCAUUGUCCUCAUCACCUCCGUUAUCUCCAUCCCCAUCACUGUUCCCAUCAUCAUCCUCACCGUCUCUGUUAUCUCCAUCCCCACUGUCCUCAUCAUCAUUGUCUCCGUUAUCUCCAUCCCCAUCACUGUCCCCAUCGCCAUCCUCAUCAUCUUCAUUAUCUCCAUCCCCACUGUCCCCAUCAUCAUCCUCACCGUCGUUAUCUCCAUCCCCACCCUCAAUGUCCUCUCAUCAACCUCAUUGUCUUCGUUAUCUCCAUCCCCACUGUCCCCAUCAUUGUCCUCAUCAUCUUCGUUAUCUCCAUCCCCAGUCCUCAUCGUCUCCGUUAUCUCCAUCUGCACUGUCCCCAUCACCAUCCUCAUCGUCUUCGUUAUCUCCAUCCCCAUCAUUGUCCCCAUCAUCAUCCUCGUCAUCUCCGUUAUCUCCAUCCCCGCUGUCCCCAUCAUCAUCCUCACUGUCUUCGUUAUCUCCAUCCCAGCCAUCCCCAUCAUCGUCCUCAUCAUCGUUAUCUCCAUCCCCACCCCCACUGUCCCCAUCAUCAUCCUCGUCAUCUUUGUUAUCUCCAUCCUCAUCACUGUCCUCAUCAUCGUCCUCAUCGUCUUCGUUAUCUCCAUGCCCAUCCCCACUGUCCCCAUCGUCCUCAUCACCUCCACCUCCACCACCCCCAUGGUCCCCAUCUUCAUCACCUCCAUCCCCAUCGUCCUCAUCAUCACCUCCAUUCUCAUCAACCUCCGUCAUCUCCAUCCCCUCCCCGUCAUCCUCAUCACCUCCACCCCCAUGGUCCCCAUCUCCAUCAUUUCCAUCCCCGUUGUCCUCAUCAUCUUCAUCACCUCCACCUCCACUGCCCUCACUGUCCUCAUCAUCUCCAUCCCCAUCAUCAUCUCCAUUCUCAUCAUCUCCAUCAUCUCCAUCCCCGUUGUCCCCAUCGUCAUCACCUCCACCUCCAUUGCCCCCACUUGUCCCCAUCUUCAUCAUCUCCAUCCCCACUGACCUCAUCAUCAUCUCCAUCCCUACUGCCCACAUCAUCUUUAUCUCAUCUCUAUCCCCCCUCCAUCAUCUCCAUCAUCUCCAUCCCCCUUGUCCCCAUCUCCAUCAUUUCCAGCCCCACUGUUUUCAUCAUCUCCAUCACCUCCAUCCCCCUCCCCAUCAUCCUCACCAUCUUCAUCUCCAUCCUCAUAAUCUCCAUCAUCUCCAUCCCCAUCGUUUUCAUCAACUUCAUCACCUCCAUCCCCCUCCCCAUCAUCUUAAUCACCUCCAACCCCACUGUCCUCAUCAUCAUCUUCAUCUCCAUCCCUAUUGUCCCCAUCUCCAUCAUUUCCCUCCCCAUCAGACUCAUCAUCCUCAUCAUCUCCAUCCCCGCCAUCCUCAUCUUCAUCAUCUCCAUCCCCAUCAUCCACAUCAUCCUCAUCUCAUCUCCACCCCACCAUCCUCAUCAUCUCCAUCCCCUUCAUCCUCAUCCUCAUCUCUAUCUCCAUCACCUCCACCUACGUUGUUCCCACCAACCCCACGUCCAUCGUCCCCAUCACCUCAUCCCCACAUCCACUGUCACCGUCAUCCCCACAUCCAUCAACCCCACCAUCCCCACGUCCAUUAUCCCCACCGUCCCCACGUCCAUCGUCCCCAUCACCUCAUCCCCACGUCCAUUGUCCCCAUCGUCCCUAUGUCCAUCAUCCCCAUUGUCCCCAC
Molecule: long non-coding RNA, 3310 nt
Filed under: Numida meleagris (helmeted guineafowl)
Lineage: Eukaryota; Metazoa; Chordata; Aves; Galliformes; Numididae
Description: lncRNA (ENSNMEG00000006333.1)
Source: RNAcentral